UACGGAGGAUGCGAGCGUUAUCCGGAUUUAUUGGGUUUAAAGGGUGCGUAGGCGGCAUUAUAAGUUAGUGGUAAAAUAUUGGGGCUUCACCUCACUACGCCAUUAAUACUGUAGAGCUAGAGAACAGACGAGGUAGGCGGAAUAAGUUAAGUAGCGGUGAAAUGCAUAGAUAUAACUUAGAACACCGAUAGCGAAGGCAGCUUACCAGACUGAGUCUGACGCUGAUGCACGAGAGCAUGGGUAGC
This 245-nucleotide ribosomal RNA is filed under the name uncultured Odoribacter sp. Its description in RNAcentral is "partial 16S ribosomal RNA". It matches the Rfam family "Bacterial small subunit ribosomal RNA", at positions 524 to 769 of the family's 1533-position model. Lineage: Bacteria; Pseudomonadati; Bacteroidota; Bacteroidia; Bacteroidales; Odoribacteraceae. The record is from RNAcentral.